RNAcentral lists this unclassified non-coding RNA (360 nucleotides) under soil metagenome. RNAcentral describes it as "partial contains internal transcribed spacer 2 and large subunit ribosomal RNA". The stretch from base 1 to 114 matches the Rfam family "5.8S ribosomal RNA", at positions 35 to 154 of the family's 154-position model. The record is from RNAcentral.
GAUGAAGAACGCAGUAAAGUGCGAAAUGUAAUGCGAUUUGCAUGAAUCUGUGAGUCAUAUAAUCUUUGAACGCAACUUGCACCCAAUAAUAUGGGUAUGUUUGUUUGAGACGGCGAAUGAGUGUGGGUCUGAUGGUCUGAUGGCUGAUGGUCUGAUGGUCUAUGGAUCCAAGUGUUGGCCAUGAACACACUACUAGUGGUCUUGGCUCAAUAUUAGCAUGCUAUACUAUGCUUGGUGCAUUUGUUAGAGAUAGAGACUCAAGUCUUUUCGAUGCAAAAACACCAUCAUAUCAUAUCACAUCACUCGUCUCAAAUCAAGCAAGAUUACCCGCUGAACUUAAGCAUAUCAAUAAGCGGAGGA